UAGGGAAUCUUCGGCAAUGGACGAAAGUCUGACCGAGCAACGCCGCGUGAGUGAAGAAGGUUUUCGGAUCGUAAAACUCUGUUGUUAGAGAAGAACAAGGACGUUAGUAACUGAACGUCCCCUGACGGUAUCUAACCAGAAAGCCACGGCUAACUACGUGCCAGCAGCCGCGGUAAUACGUAGGUGGCAAGCGUUGUCCGGAUUUAUUGGGCGUAAAGCGAGCGCAGGCGGUUUCUUAAGUCUGAUGUGAAAGCCCCCGGCUCAACCGGGGAGGGUCAUUGGAAACUGGGAGACUUGAGUGCAGAAGAGGAGAGUGGAAUUCCAUGUGUAGCGGUGAAAUGCGUAGAUAUAUGGAGGAACACCAGUGGCGACGGCGGCUCUCUGGUCUGUAGCUGACGCUGAGGCUCGAAAGCGUGGGGAGCAAACAGG
Molecule: ribosomal RNA, 429 nt
Filed under: Chloroflexota bacterium
Lineage: Bacteria; Bacillati; Chloroflexota
Description: Chloroflexi bacterium partial 16S ribosomal RNA
Rfam family: Bacterial small subunit ribosomal RNA
Source: RNAcentral